CCUACGGGGGGCAGCAGUGGGGAAUAUUGCACAAUGGGGGAAACCCUGAUGCAGCGACGCCGCGUGAGUGAAGAAGUAUUUCGGUACGUAAAGCUCUAUCAGCAGGGAAGAAAAUGACGGUACCUGACUAAGAAGCCCCGGCUAACUACGUGCCAGCAGGCGCGGUAAUACGUAGGGGGCAAGCGUUAUCCGGAUUUACUGGGUGUAAAGGGAGCGUAGACGGCAGCGCAAGUCUGGAGUGAAAUCCCAUGGCUUAACCAUGGAACUGCUUUGGAAACUGUGCAGCUAGAGUGCAGGAGAGGUAAGCGGAAUUCCUAGUGUAGCGGUGAAAUGCGUAGAGAUUAGGAGGAACACCAGUGGCGAAGGCGGCUUACUGGACUGUAACUGACGUUGAGGCUCGAAAGCGUGGGGAGCAAACAGGAUUAGAGACCCGGGUAGUC
RNAcentral lists this ribosomal RNA (440 nucleotides) under uncultured bacterium. RNAcentral's name for it is "partial 16S ribosomal RNA". It matches the Rfam family "Bacterial small subunit ribosomal RNA", at positions 338 to 795 of the family's 1533-position model. The record is from RNAcentral.